CCUACGGGGGGCAGCAGUGGGGAAUAUUGCGCAAUGGGCGAAAGCCUGACGCAGCGACGCCGCGUGAGGGAUGAAGGUCUUCGGAUCGUAAACCUCUGUCAGCAGGGAAGAACGGUCACUGUGCUAAUCAGCAGUGCAUUGACGGUACCUGCAAAGGAAGCACCGGCUUAAUCCGUGCCAGCAGCCGCGGUAAUACGGCGGGUGCGAGCGUUAAUCGGAAUUACUGGGCGUAAAGCGCUCGUAGGCGGUAUGUCAAGUCAAGGGUGAAAUCCCCGCGCUCAACGUGGGAACUGCCGUUGAAACUGGCAAACUGGAGUGUGUGAGAGGAUAGUGGAAUUCCAGGUGUAGGAGUGAAAUCCGUAGAUAUCGGGAGGAACAUCAGUGGCGAAGGCGACUAUCUGGCACAUAACUGACGCUGAGGAGCGAAAGCGUGGGUAGCAAACAGGAUUAGAUACCCGGGUAGUC
This 465-nucleotide ribosomal RNA is filed under the name uncultured bacterium. Its description in RNAcentral is "partial 16S ribosomal RNA". It matches the Rfam family "Bacterial small subunit ribosomal RNA", at positions 338 to 795 of the family's 1533-position model. The record is from RNAcentral.